AGCUAGGUCGUGCUCUAAGCGUAGUAACCAAAUUCUCGCUUCUGAAGCCGGCCCGGGUCCUGCCGUAAAACCCCCUAUAUUUUUCUGGUUGACCUCGGAUCAGGUAGGAAUACCCGCUGAACUUAAGCAUAUCAAUAAGCGGAGGAAAAGAAACCAACAGGGAUUGCCCUAGUAACGGCGAGUGAAGCGGCAACAGCUCAAAUUUGAAAUCUGGCCUUCGGGUCCGAGUUGUAAUUUGCAGAGGAUGCUUUUGGCGCGGUGCCUUCCGAGUUCCCUGGAACGGGACGCCUUAGAGGGUGAGAGCCCCGUACGGUUGGACACCAAGCCUCUGUAAAGCUCCUUCGACGAGUCGAGUAGUUUGGGAAUGCUGCUCUAAAUGGGAGGUAAAUUUCUUCUAAAGCUAAAUACCGGCCAGAGACCGAUAGCGCACAAGUAGAGUGAUCGAAAGAUGAAAAGCACUUUGAAAAGAGGGUUAAAUAGCACGUGAAAUUGUUGAAAGGGAAGCGUUUACGGCCAGACCUUUUCCUGGCGGAUCAUCUGGUGUUCUCACCAGUGCACUUCGCCAGGUUUAGGCCAGCAUCGGCUUCUGUAGGGGGAUAAAAGCAGUGGGAAAGUAGCUCCCUCGGGAGUGUUAUAGCCCUAAGCAUAAUACC
RNAcentral lists this ribosomal RNA (653 nucleotides) under Sordariomycetes sp. RNAcentral's name for it is "eukaryotic LSU rRNA". The stretch from base 90 to 653 matches the Rfam family "Eukaryotic large subunit ribosomal RNA", at positions 1 to 575 of the family's 3401-position model. The record is from RNAcentral. Lineage: Eukaryota; Fungi; Ascomycota; Sordariomycetes.